Micropterus dolomieu (smallmouth bass) is the source of this 1264-nucleotide long non-coding RNA. RefSeq lists it as uncharacterized. The record is from RefSeq and is a predicted model, not a curated record. The transcript has 2 exons. Lineage: Eukaryota; Metazoa; Chordata; Actinopteri; Centrarchiformes; Centrarchidae.
GGGGGGGGGGGUUGGUUAAAUGGAGGAAAAGGCAAACGAGGACUCGUGGAGAGGAAGACCGCAUCCAGUCCAGAUUUCUUCUCACCAGACUGCCAAACGUGGACGCAGACAGAAGCUGCCGUGGUCUUUCCUCCUCAGCGUCGCUCAUGCUCUCACGAGGACAGCGGCCUUUUCCGGGACCUUUUUUUGUUUGUUUGUUUGUUUGUUUCUUCUGUGGCGUCCGGCUCCAUCAGCCGUGUUAAACAGCUCACCUGCCACAAACACUGAGACACACACACUGACUGUACAUGUUACAUACUGCACAAUGCCUCGCAAAGCCGGGGGAAGAGACUGCGGAUACGAGAAUAAAGGAAACCUCUGCUCAUUCAUUAAUAGGAAAAUUAAUGUGUAUUUUUAUUCAUAUGGCUUAGCGAUUAGCUGUUUGUAUUUGCCACCAUGUCAUUGUUUUACUUUUCAACGGACUUGCACAACCUGUCAUGAUUUUUGUAAAGCGGUUUGCUGUUUUUUGGAUCAUUUAUAAUCCAUGAUAUCAGUGUUUAUAAUGUGGAAAUUGACCUCGAGUAAGAGAACAUGAUUUAUCUCAGUCUCUCCCCUAAUUAUUAACAGUCUCCAGUUUGCCUUUGUCAGAUUCUUCAGAGCAGGGACAUCAAACAGGACAUGGGAACAACUGUUUCAGACGGGCCGUCGUGUAUAUAACCUUUUUAUAUAGCUGACAAAGGCAGACUGAUACUUGUUUUUGUGUAUAUCCCACAUGAACAUUGAAUGUGCAUAACUUCUCUGCUUCAUAUUAGAGCUGCAACGACUAGUCCAUUAAUUGAUUAGUUGUCAACUAUUAAAUUAACCACCAACUAUUUUGAUAAUCGAUUCAUCUGUUUGAGUAAUAUUUGAAGAAAAAAAAGUUUUAAUUAAGUUAAGCUAAGUAUUUUCUUGUUUCUUUUCUCCUACUAUGACGUUAAAGUGAAUAUAUUUGGGUUGUGGACAAAGCAAGAUGACAUUUGUCACCAUUUUUGUAGGCCAAACAACUAAUCGAUUAAUCCAGAAAAAUAAAUCGACAGAUUAGUCGACGAUAACCAUCGUUAGUUGCAGCCCUACUUCUUAUGGUCUUUGCUCUUAGGAUGGAUGCCGAUUUGUAAUUCUUGGAAAAAGGUAAAAUUGCCAUGUAAUUUGUAGCUACCUUGGUGACACAUUUUCUGUGGCUGUGCAUAUUGAUUGUACUUGAUGCAUAGCGCCUCGUUACUACUGUAUUAAAAAGCAGUAAAAUGCA